RNAcentral lists this long non-coding RNA (889 nucleotides) under Homo sapiens (human). RNAcentral describes it as "non-protein coding lnc-PGM5-1:1". The record is from RNAcentral. Lineage: Eukaryota; Metazoa; Chordata; Mammalia; Primates; Hominidae.
UGCAGGCAGGAGUGGCUUCGUGUAGCUGUUUUGUUCUUCAGAGUUGGGUGGGACACUCAGCUGUUCCCAGUUAUUUGAACGUACAGCCCUCCUUUGAUUAAAAGGCGCUGGUCUCUUAAUCCCCAUGGAGGGCAAUUCCCCACUAAAAGCUGGAGAAGUUAGCACUCUUUAAAGAACGAUCUUCUUUGAGGUUUGCAGACUCUCUCUAUUGUCCUCUUGGCUUACGCCCUUUGAAGAAGGAAGCUGCCAUAUUGGAGAGGCCCAUGAGGCAAGGAAUUGAGGGCAGGUUCUGGCCAACAGUCACUGAAGAACUGAGGCCCUUAGUCCGUCAGCCCAUGAGGAACUGCAUCCUGUCAAUGACCACGUGAGCUUGCAAUCAAAUCCUCAUCCCACUGAGCCUUGAGAUGACUCUGCUCCCAAGCAUCACCUUGACUCAGUGACCCUGAAGUAGAGGACCCAGGUACCAAAGUUGAAAGCCCCGAAUGCUCACAGAGCAGCUGGAACAAGAAUUACUGCCUGCAGGCGCUUCUGUCCACCAGCCACGUGUCAGUGAGUGGCCCUGGACCCAGCCAGGUUGUGUGUGCACCUGCGGUUCUUGCCAUGGGGAGCAGGAGCCAUUUGGCUGCUCCUCUUCAUAGGGCACCACCUGCAAUCUUUCACUGCCCAGCGUCUUCAGACUUCCAAAUAAGCCUGAAGAGGACAGGAGAGCGAGCAAUGUCUCCCUGAAUGGGACUACAGGGGACGCUGGUAACCGCACCUCAUUCAGCAACUUGAGAAACAUCAGCAAUAAUACUACAAGCAAUCGCUUAGGUACUUGACUGUGAGCAGGAAUAUGAGACAAGUGGAACACACUGGCUCUCAUUUUUUAAAGAUGAUUUCACCUUAAGAG